UGCAGACUUCAGCAGCGCGUAAGUAAAAGCAGAUCAAUACAGAGAAGAUUAGCAUGGCUCCUGUGCAAAUGAGACAUGAAAAUUUGUGAAGCCUUCUGUAUUUUU
Molecule: small nuclear RNA, 105 nt
Organism: Nannospalax galili (Upper Galilee mountains blind mole rat)
Lineage: Eukaryota; Metazoa; Chordata; Mammalia; Rodentia; Spalacidae
Source: Ensembl